RNAcentral lists this unclassified non-coding RNA (352 nucleotides) under soil metagenome. RNAcentral describes it as "partial contains 5.8S ribosomal RNA, internal transcribed spacer 2, and large subunit ribosomal RNA". The stretch from base 1 to 120 matches the Rfam family "5.8S ribosomal RNA", at positions 35 to 154 of the family's 154-position model. The record is from RNAcentral.
GAUGAAGAACGCAGCGAAAUGCGAUAAGUAAUGUGAAAUGCAGAAUUCAGUGAAUCAUCGAAUCUUUGAACGCACAUUGCGCCCGCCAGUAUUCUGGCGGGCAUGCCUGUUCGAGCGUCAUUACAACCCUCAGGCCCCCGGGCCUGGCGUUGGGGAUCGGCGGAGCCCCCCGUGGGCACACGCCGUCCCCCAAAUACAGUGGCGGUCCCGCCGCAGCUUCCAUCGCGUAGUAGCUAACACCUCGCGACUGGAGAGCGGCGCGGCCACGCCGUAAAACACCCAACUCUUCUGAAGUUGACCUCGAAUCAGGUAGGAAUACCCGCUGAACUUAAGCAUAUCAAUAAGCGGAGGA